RNAcentral lists this ribosomal RNA (497 nucleotides) under uncultured bacterium. RNAcentral's name for it is "partial 16S ribosomal RNA". It matches the Rfam family "Bacterial small subunit ribosomal RNA", at positions 28 to 507 of the family's 1533-position model. The record is from RNAcentral.
GAUGAACGCUGGCGGCGUGCCUAAUACAUGCAAGUCGAGCGAACAGACGAGGAGCUUGCUCCUUUGACGUUAGCGGCGGACGGGUGAGUAACACGUAGGUAACCUACCUAUAAGACUGGGAUAACUUCGGGAAACCGGAGCUAAUACCGGAUAAUAUUUCGAACCGCAUGGUUCGAUAGUGAAAGAUGGCUUUGCUAUCACUUAUAGAUGGACCUGCGCCGUAUUAGCUAGUUGGUAAGGUAACGGCUUACCAAGGCAACGAUACGUAGCCGACCUGAGAGGGUGAUCGGCCACACUGGAACUGAGACACGGUCCAGACUCCUACGGGAGGCAGCAGUAGGGAAUCUUCCGCAAUGGGCGAAAGCCUGACGGAGCAACGCCGCGUGAGUGAUGAAGGUCUUCGGAUCGUAAAACUCUGCUAUUAGGGAAGAACAAACGUGUAAGUAACUGUGCACGUCUUGACGGUACCUAAUCAGAAAGCCACGGCUAACUACGUG